RNAcentral lists this unclassified non-coding RNA (979 nucleotides) under Hevea brasiliensis (rubber tree). Lineage: Eukaryota; Viridiplantae; Streptophyta; Magnoliopsida; Malpighiales; Euphorbiaceae. The record is from RNAcentral.
AUCACAGACAGAACCCGAAGUCUUUUGGUUGACGUAGCUUCAUCUCCAGAGCACCUUCCCUUAAUUUAAUGCUCAAAUGACGGGGCUUCAAGAGCCGUGAUCUGCCACGGAGCACUUCCCUCAGCCUCUAGAAUUUCCAGCAAUUCUCCGUUCUCAUUUUCAGCGGCACCAGCGGCGUUGCGUUCCCGACAAUUGCAUUGAUAUCCUGCUCCCCGGUUUUCUUCCCUUCCGGCGAGGUAUCUGAGAAUUACGUUUUCAGUAGAUAUGGUGUCAUCAAGAAGCAUGGCUCAAACAACGUCAUCGUUUUCAUCUUCUUCCCCUUCAUCUUCAUCAUCAUCAUUGUUACCAACCAACCUCCCUCUUUUCUCUGCCUUCCUUGCCUGUGCUCUUGCUCAGUUCCUUAAGCUCUUCACAAACUGGUUUAAAGAAAAGAGAUGGGAUUCUAAAAGGAUGCUUGAUUCUGGUGGAAUGCCAUCUUCACAUUCUGCCACUGUGACAGCUCUAGCAAUGGCUAUAGGUCUACAAGAAGGAACAGGAUCACCAGCAUUUGCAAUUGCAGUUGUAUUGGCCUGUGUUGUGAUGUAUGAUGCCUCAGGGGUCAGACUUCAUGCUGGUCGGCAAGCUGAAUUGCUAAAUCAAAUUGUGUGCGAGUUUCCUCCAGAACAUCCAUUAUCCAGUGUUAGACCUUUGCGUGAAUUACUUGGCCACACUCCGCUUCAGGUGGUUGUUGGAGCUUUGUUGGGAUUCAUUGUAGCUUACCUGAUGAGAAACACAGACUAGUGUUUUGUGGCAUAAUAUUAUUUGGUCACUAGUAGGUGACUGGAAGCUAUGCCUGCCUGGACUCCAUGGAUUUGGUGGAAUACAUCAUGGGUUUCCAGAAUACUUAAUUUCCACUGAAUGAACAGUUCUUCCUGAUCGAAUUUAGUAGAACAAAUGAAUAAAACAUCUGUCCAGCAUGGACACUUCUCCUAACUGUUUG